UACAGAGUAGAAAGUACGCAUAAAGUGCCGAUGGACGGGAAGUUGCUGUCGGACGACGCGGUCGAAAUACGACCGGAUGAUGUGCUUUCGCAUCCGCUGUC
Molecule: non-coding RNA, 101 nt
Filed under: Clostridiales bacterium
Lineage: Bacteria; Bacillati; Bacillota; Clostridia; Eubacteriales
Also listed under: 1 other name
Description: THF
Rfam family: THF (Tetrahydrofolate) riboswitch aptamer
About the family: THF riboswitch presents a pseudoknot that joins P1-P2 and the loop of P3 and two THF binding.
Source: RNAcentral